AACGACUGCUAAUACCCGAUGUGCCGGAAGGUGAAAAUUUUUUGCCUCAAGAGGAGCUCGCGUCUGAUUAGCUAGUUGGUGGGGUAAAAGCGUACCAAGGCAACGAUCAGUAGCUGGUCUGAGAGGAUGAGCAGCCACACUGGGACUGAGACACGGCCCAGACUCCUACGGGAGGCGGCAGUGGGGAAUUUUCCGCAAUGGGCGAAAGCCUGACGGAGCAAUACCGCGUGAGGGAGGAAGGCCUUUGGGUUGUAAACCUCUUUUCUCAGGGAAGAAGAUCUGACGGUACCUGAGGAAUAAGCAUCGGCUAACUCCGUGCCAGCAGCCGCGGUAAUACGGAGGAUGCAAGCGUUAUCCGGAAUUAUUGGGCGUAAAGCGUCCGCAGGUGGUCUUUCAAGUCUGCUGUCAAAGACCAGAGCUUAACUCUGGGCAGGCGGUGGAAACUGAGAGACUAGAGUUCGGUAGGGGUAGCGGGAAUUCCCAGUGUAGCGGUGAAAUGCGUAGAUAUUGGGAAGAACAUCGGUGGCGAAGGCGCGCUACUGGACCGAAACUGACACUCAGGGACGAAAGCUAGGGUAGCG
Molecule: ribosomal RNA, 581 nt
Filed under: uncultured bacterium
Lineage: Bacteria
Description: bacterial SSU rRNA
Rfam family: Bacterial small subunit ribosomal RNA
Source: RNAcentral